GUGAAUCAUCGAAUUUUUGAACGCAAAUUGCACUCUCUUCGGAGAGUAUGCCUGUUUGAGGGUCAGCCUAAAAAAAAAAUCGACAUAGUUGCUGUUUUCCGGUGUCAUUCGUCGGAAAUUUGGUCAUCUUUAACCUUUUGGUUUUAAGCUGUUUAAAAUUUUUUUUCUGCUUCUACGGAAAUUUCUAAACUUUUA
Molecule: unclassified non-coding RNA, 195 nt
Filed under: Glomus sp.
Lineage: Eukaryota; Fungi; Glomeromycota; Glomeromycetes; Glomerales; Glomeraceae
Description: partial contains 5.8S ribosomal RNA and internal transcribed spacer 2
Rfam family: 5.8S ribosomal RNA (bases 1-65)
Source: RNAcentral